CAGCAUUACUCUGGAGAGUCUUUACCGGCUCCGGUGCCGAUUUUAAAAAGGAGAAGCAUUUCAUGUGAACUCAUCCGGCAAUCGGCCAAGGCCGGCGGUAAAGCGCCGAAGGUGUACGGCAGGGUUUCCUGCUAAUCUCUCAGGCAAAAGGACAGAAUAUGUAAA
This is a non-coding RNA of Eubacterium sp. An11, 165 nucleotides long. The record is from Rfam. Lineage: Bacteria; Bacillati; Bacillota; Clostridia; Eubacteriales; Eubacteriaceae.